UCGCGAAUUUUUCACAAUGGGCGCAAGCCUGAUGAAGCCACGCCGCGUGCGGGAUGAAGGCCCUCUGGGUUGUAAACCGCUGUCAGGGAAGGGGAAACGUAUGGUGUUAACAGCGCCAUGCUUGACUGCUUUCCAAAGGAAGCCCCGGCAAAACAUGUGCCAGCAGCCGCGGUAAUACAUGUGGGGCAAGCGUUGUUCGGAAUUACUGGGCAUAAAGGGUGCGUAGGCGGCGUCGUAAGUCAGGGGUGAAAUCCGACGGCCCAACCGUCGAACUGCCUUUGAUACUGCGAUGCUUGAGUGCGUGAGGGGUAACCGGAACGAGUGGUGUAGCGGUGAAAUGCGUAGAUAUCACUCGGAAGGCCAAAGGCGAAGGCAGGUUACUGGUGCGCAACUGACGCUGAGGCACGAAAGCGUGGGGAGCAAACAGG
This 428-nucleotide ribosomal RNA is filed under the name uncultured bacterium. RNAcentral's name for it is "bacterial SSU rRNA". It matches the Rfam family "Bacterial small subunit ribosomal RNA", at positions 355 to 776 of the family's 1533-position model. The record is from RNAcentral.